UCUCCGUAGGUGAGCCUGCGGAGGGAUCAUUACAAGUGACCCCGGUCUUACCACCGGGAUGUUCAUAACCCUUUGUUGUCCGACUCUGUUGCCUCCGGGGCGACCCUGCCUUCGGGCGGGGGCCCCGGAUGGACACUUCAAACUCUUGCGUAACUUUGCAGUCUGAGUAAACUUAAUUAAUAAAUUAAAACUUUUAACAACGGAUCUCUUGGCUCUC
RNAcentral lists this unclassified non-coding RNA (217 nucleotides) under plant metagenome. Its description in RNAcentral is "partial contains small subunit ribosomal RNA, internal transcribed spacer 1, and 5.8S ribosomal RNA". The record is from RNAcentral.